CACGCCCUCUGCCAGGGCAGUUCCCUUUGGUCGGGGCCUCAGUCCCAGAAAGACAAGGAUGUUGUUGGACUUCCCCUCCCUCAAGGCUUCAGAUGGAUUCAUGAGUCUCAGCACAUCUGCGGACAGGAGUGAGCUGCCCUGAGAAGGCAUGAUGCCAAGAAGGUGUGACCCUGAAGGAGCCGGUGUCUGGAGGCUGCCUGCUGACUGCACCCCCACAGCUGGGCACAACCCCUUUCCGGAAGAAAGGCUGGGGGACUCAUCUCUGCACUCACCACGGGCCACCCCUUGCAUCACUCCAGUUCACUUCACCUUCGCUCAAGGGGCAGUUCCUUCAGGGUCCCAGCAGGCCUCUCUUCCAGAAGGAAAACUUAGAGGAGGAAGACGAGCAGGAUGAACUUCAGUCCCCACUGCUGCAAUUAGGCUUGGAGACACAACAGAAGGCAGCCAUCUGAAACCAGGAAGCAGGCCCUCAGCAGACACGGAAGGUGCCAGCACCUUGAUCAUGGACUUCCCAACCUCCAGAACUCUGAGAAAUAAA
Manis javanica (Malayan pangolin) is the source of this 538-nucleotide non-coding RNA. The record is from RefSeq and is a predicted model, not a curated record. Lineage: Eukaryota; Metazoa; Chordata; Mammalia; Pholidota; Manidae.